GAGCGCUACAGCAGUGUGACAGCUGACCACCUCUGGAGCAGCGAGCAGCGGGACAGGAAAAAGUCUGCUGACUGCUGGCCUAAAUAAUGCGAUGGAGCACGAGGUUGAACUGAGUGAACAGGACAGGAUUAGAAUGCAAAAAGUAAGGCACUGCUCAGCUCAGGUGUAAAAGUUAAGAGGCACCAAAAUCGAAAGCCUCAGUAAUCAAGGCAUCCGAAGGAAGUCGAAAAGGAUCUUCCUGAAGAUUCCCUUAGAGUUGUUUUUUGCUGUUUUCUUGAGACAGAGUCUCACCUUACCACCCUCGGUAGAGUGCCAUGGCAUCACACAACUCACAGCAACCUCCAAAUCCUUGGGCUUAGGCGAUUCUCUUGACUCAGCCUCCCAAGUAGCUGGGACUACAGGUGCCCGCCACAACGCCCGGCUAAUUGCUGUUCUUAACAGAGAUCUGAAUUCUUCUCAGAUAGGCUCCUGGACAAAAUGUGAUAGCCUGGCAACUUCUGUUGCAAAUAAUCAGGAUAUGAGAAGAUAAUGAAUUUGAUACUUUCAAGAUGUUUCCUUUGUAAAAAUGUAUAAAUAAGCAUGUCAAUUAAUUUUAGGGUGCUUCUGUCUCACUUCUAUGUUAUGGUCAAUAAAAUCAGUGAUUUAUGAUAUCUACUUAUAAACAUCAAUUUUACUAUAAACUAAAUAUAAACACAUGCUUUAUUCACAUGUGGCAAUUGAAUUUAUAACUGCAAUAAUACAUUAGGGUUUUCUUUAUAAGUGCCUAUUUUCAAUACUUAUAAAAAUAUACAUUGACUAUUAUUCAUUACUCAUGACAGUAGCUGCCAGGCAUGCCCCCAUAUACACCCACAUUUCAUUUACAAACACUUCAUUUAUUCUCUAAAAAGCCUGUAUCAGUCUGGGAUCCAUCACUUUCAGAGAAAAGUGAACCUUUUUAAUGUUUAUAUCCUGGUAGGUUGACUGAAAAUAGCCCUAUUAGAUUUUAAUGCAUUUAACUAUGAACCCUGUAGUAGUGCAUUGUUGAAAGCAUGAAAAAGUACAUCUAAAAACCAGAUUUAAGAAAUACUUUUCUCUAAAAGGAUAUCACAGAAUAUAUCCCAAACCAAGACAGCACCAAAUUCAUUAAGAUCUUCUCAUCUCCACCUGUCAAAAGUGUUUACGAAAAAGGGAAUGAACAGCAGUAGCGGAUGUACAGAUGAGGAUGGGGCUGCUUUCAUGGAAAGAACCAGUUUUGACAUUAUCCACAACUGUAUAAAAAAGAAAAUCAAAUCCAUAGAUAGAAAAAAUAAGUUCUGUUAUCACGAAGAUGAGCAAAUAUUGGACUGAAAUCUUCAUUUCUCCUUUGAUUGUUAUUCAGCUCCUGCCCACAGUAGCCAGGUGGCCACUGUUCUAGAAUAAUUUCAACUUAAACCAUUUGUUUUUCCCUACCUCAUAUAUUUAUCAUUUAGCCCCUUUUAUUGUGCUUUAUUAUGUUACACUAAAAAGCUUAUGAAACCGUGUGCAGACCCAUGAGCUAAGAUAAAUCUAGUGUGUUGACAGAGUCUUAGCACAUUUUACUCAUUUCCCUUCAACAGUUGGUUGUAAUCUAUGACCAAAUAGGAAAACAAAAUGAACAAACAAAAAAGAUGAAGAGCUGUCAUCUUUCAAAGAGUCUUUUGCUCUGCAUGAUACGUAAGUAGUAAGAUGUCUUCCUUGAGCCAAAUGCUGAUCUAGUCAUUUAUUUCUAGAGCCUCACAAUUAAUGUUUCCAUGACAGAUGAAAUUAGUCUAUUUUUUAUUGAAUUGUGAAUGAAUUUGUCAUUUCCAAAAAUGAAUGUGUUAUUUUGAGGGUUUCUUUCUUCAACUGAUCAGUUUUUGGAAAUAAUCUUAUA
Molecule: long non-coding RNA, 1870 nt
Organism: Nycticebus coucang (slow loris)
Lineage: Eukaryota; Metazoa; Chordata; Mammalia; Primates; Lorisidae
Exons: 5
Source: RefSeq, a predicted model, not a curated record